GCCCGCUUUCACGUAUAGUCUGUCAGCAUAACAGCCUCUCUUUCUCGCGCGCACCGAAAACGUGUGAAGGCAGAAAGGAGAACAGAAUCUGGAAAGAUCCCGUUAGGUGCAACGCUGCAGCGUACAGCCAACUUCUCGCGUCAAAAGUUCUUGUUCACUUCGUUUAAAACUUUGAAUGAAAACGGACGCAAGGCUGCUGCAGUAGUUAGAAUACAAACGGAAAAUUACAGCCCACGCGGUUCGGUUUCCGUCUAGAUGUGUGUACACCGGCCAAGUCUACGCUAACAGGAGGAUCAUUUAUAUUUUUGCACCCAACUACUGGAAAAGAAAAAAGGUUCUGUCGGCAACAUCAGCGCCAGCGCGACGUGAUCGCGCCGUUUUUAAUUCCGCAACCGGUCGGCCAAGACGAGACUUUUUCUGGGUGUCAGUUCAAGCCAACCUGCCACGGCAGGGUUGCCACCUGCGGACACGUGUCGCGCUAGGUGCCGCCCUGCGAACGGCGUAAAUCUCUGGCCCGGCAUCCCACCAACCGUAUGCCACGUGCGGCCUUGUAUCGAAGGAAGUCUACAUGGACGACCACGGUGGUUAGUGCAUAACCUCACCAACACGCGCCACGCGCGGCAUUCACCGCCCCAGCUCUGGCUAAGCCAUAGAGCGACAUUUUGAAGGGUUAUGGUACUAAUUCGCCAGCCAUUUUUUUUGGACCACUGAUCGUAAAUGGUCGCACUUGAAUAAGGAAGUGAACGGAUACAGGAUGUGACUUUUGCUACCACACCCACAUCGUCUUACCAACACGCGCCACGCGCGGCAACGGAAUUCUCAGCUCUGGCUAGUCCAGUAAGCAGUAUCUCGGAAGGCGAUUUGUAGCGCAGCAGACCCGGCACUUCGCCCGUAUUUGCCACGUGCGGCUUGCCGAUGGGAGAAGCCUCACCAUAGGUGAAAUAUAUUUGGAGGAGAGCAUCGAUUGAUCAGACCUGCUGUCUGGCAUGCGAAGACGCAUAUCCCUCCCAGUAUUUAUUGAUCCACCCUCGUACAGCAACGUGUGCUUGCCUCUUCUGGUGAUUUUGGCCCGGUCACAGGCAUAAAUUAGCAGAUGUAUUUUCUGGGUCUGCUUUGAUGUUGGACAUGGAAAAGACUUACUUAAAAUCUCUGACCGCAUGGAAAUGAUGUUUCUGGCUAAUUAUGUACGUCCUCCGGCGACCGACUCCACCUCAUCCAUCCUUACUGGAACUUCAUUUGAGCAGUUUCUCAAUGAGGGAAAAAAGGGGACAAAUGGCAAAAAUGCCAGGCUUCAUGGCGAAAAGGGGUUUGCUGGCGCAAAGGAGCAUGCACUUGCCAAGGAAAAUUGUUUACGCAUUUUAAGUUUCGCUCGAGCAAGGGCAUCAACAAUGGCGACUGCGUUUUGUUGUUCCCCAUCGAUGCAAGAUGCAGGGCAUCCAGCUGGGCAAAGUUGCAACUUUGUUACGCUUGGGCACCCAUCGCAAAAUGCAUGGGUUUCAAGUUGAAAUUUAUUUAAAGGCUACAGCAGAAUGUCAGACAGCGGUUGACAUCUGCAUUUAUUUAUAACUUAUACAUUUUUUAUAUCUUAAUACUACGAGCUUGACCUAUAAAUUAUUUAUUUACUUAAGAAGUUUAUACAAAUGAAUACAAUUAUGAGCUAGUAAAGAUGUAGAAUUUAUUUAGAUUAUUUUUUAGGUAGAGCUGUUGUAGAAAUGUGGUGAAAUGUGGGCUUUUUAGGAACUGUUAUAAAUUUGAUUUAUUGGUUGAUGUAAGACUCACCAGUCAACAAGAAAUGUGUUGAAUAAAAUUUAAUUUAAUUCGUUUUACACAUGUUCCAUUAUAAGCAUAAUAAUUAAAUGUCUU
Molecule: non-coding RNA, 1863 nt
Organism: Drosophila suzukii
Lineage: Eukaryota; Metazoa; Arthropoda; Insecta; Diptera; Drosophilidae
Source: RefSeq, a predicted model, not a curated record